UUCCGGUUGAUCCUGCCGGACCCGACUGCUAUUUGGGUGAGAAUAAGCCAUGCGAGUUGAAUGGGAUACCUAAAGUUCCCAUAGCAAACUGCUCAGUAACACAUGAUCAACUUACCCUAUAGAGAAAAAUAACCUCGGGAAACUGAGGAUAAUGUUUCAUAAUUGAAUUGGCUUGGAAAAGUUUUUCAAUGAAAAGGAUAAAAAAAAAUGGUUUUUAUCUGCUAUAGGAUAGGAUCGUGUUCGAUUAUGGUUGUUGGUGAGAUAAUGGCUCACCAAGCCGAUAAUCGAUAGGGGCCGUGAGAGCGGGAGCCCCGAGAUGGGUACUGAGACAACGACCCAGGCCUUACGAGGCGCAGCAGGCGCGGAACCUCCGCAAUACACGAAAGUGUGACGGGUUACCCAAGUGUCAAUAGAACUGUGGUAGGUGAGUAAUGUCCCCUACUAGAAAGGAGAGGGCAAGGCUGGUGCCAGCCGCCGCGGUAAAACCAGCUCUUCAAGUGGUCGGGAUAAUUAUUGGGCUUAAAGUGUCCGUAGCCGGUUUAGUAAGUUCCUGGUAAAAUCGGGUAGCUUAACUAUCUGCAUGCUAGGAAUACUGCUAUACUAGAGGGCGGGAGAGGUCUGAGGUACUACAGGGGUAGGGGUGAAAUCUUAUAAUCCUUGUAGGACCACCAGUGGCGAAGGCGUCAGACUGGAACGCGCCUGACGGUGAGGGACGAAAGCCAGGGGAGCGAACCGGAUUAGAUACCCGGGUAGUCCUGGCCGUAAACGAUGCAUACUAGGUGAUGGUACGGCCAUGAGCCGUAUCAGUGCCGUAGGGAAACCGUUAAGUGUGCCGCCUGGGAAGUACGGUCGCAAGGCUAAAACUUAAAGGAAUUGGCGGGGGAGCACCACAAGGGGUGAAGCCUGCGGUUCAAUUGGAGUCAACGCCGGG
RNAcentral lists this ribosomal RNA (931 nucleotides) under uncultured archaeon. RNAcentral's name for it is "bacterial SSU rRNA". It matches the Rfam family "Archaeal small subunit ribosomal RNA", at positions 1 to 922 of the family's 1478-position model. The record is from RNAcentral.